Molecule: ribosomal RNA, 363 nt
Filed under: Babesia sp. deer clade
Lineage: Eukaryota; Apicomplexa; Aconoidasida; Piroplasmida; Babesiidae
Description: SSU rRNA
Rfam family: Eukaryotic small subunit ribosomal RNA
Source: RNAcentral
AGGUAGUGACAAGAAAUAACAAUACAGGGCAAUUGUCUUGUAAUUGGAAUGAUGGUGACCUAAACCCUCACCAGAGUAACAAUUGGAGGGCAAGUCUGGUGCCAGCAGCCGCGGUAAUUCCAGCUCCAAUAGCGUAUAUUAAACUUGUUGCAGUUAAAAAGCUCGUAGUUGAAUUUUUGCGUCACCGUGUAUCGACAUUUGUCGUUUAUCGGUUUCGCUUUUGGGAUUUAUCCCUUUUUACUUUGAGAAAAUUAGAGUGUUUCAAGCAGACUUUUGUCUUGAAUACUUCAGCAUGGAAUAAUAGAGUAGGACUUUGGUUCUAUUUUGUUGGUUUGUGAACCUUAGUAAUGGUUAAUAGGAACG